CAGAUUCAGUGAGAAGAUCUUCACUGUUUCUGUUUAUGAUUCAGGUUCAGAUCCGACUCCAUUCCUGACAGGACUAUAUGUAGCUGUUGCUGUUUCUGUUUCUGCUGGUGUUAUUGCCAUUCUGCUGAUUGUUGCUGUGAUUUGCUGUUGCAAGCGCAGAGCAAGAAGGAAAGCUAACAGGACGGAGCGCAGUGAACAGAGAGACACUUUUUUGAUGAAGAAUCUCAGUGACUCGAAC
Molecule: long non-coding RNA, 238 nt
Organism: Rhinichthys klamathensis goyatoka
Lineage: Eukaryota; Metazoa; Chordata; Actinopteri; Cypriniformes; Leuciscidae
Exons: 4
Source: RefSeq, a predicted model, not a curated record